UCAUAAAAAUGAUAUAGGCAUUUAUUAGUGUAAAUAAUACUCGCAUCUGUGCGAUACAUCAUGAAGCAUUUUGCGUCUAUCAUUGAAACAUUCAUCUUAUUAAGCACACUAAUUCGUCUUUGUUCAUGUUCAACAGAAACACCAAAAUGUGAAAAAAUUAUGCCUUUACAGGCGCUUCAAAAGCUGUUGUGCAAAUUACAAGUGAAAUAACGAAACCCAACAAUGCGAAAAAUGUUUACUAGGAUACAGUGGAGUAAAUUGUAGUCAAUCUUGUCCUUUUCCUUUUUUUGGAGAAGGAUGUCAAGGUAGAUGUGACUGUGAUAACAACACAUGUGAUGUUUCCACCGGUUGUAAAAAUGUUACCACUGAUGGACAAACUUUUCCAUUGGUAAGCAACACAACAGAAAACAUUUUAAAUGAAAA
Molecule: long non-coding RNA, 423 nt
Organism: Saccostrea cuccullata (small rock oyster)
Lineage: Eukaryota; Metazoa; Mollusca; Bivalvia; Ostreida; Ostreidae
Exons: 4
Source: RefSeq, a predicted model, not a curated record